GAGAGAGAAUCAGCAAAUGUCAGAUAAUGUUCUUUCGAAAAAUCAUUCUUGUUUUAUACAAAUACAGACUAUUUUAAAUCGAAAAAAAUUAAUAAAUUUCAUAAAUUUACGCACCAGAAUCAAACUAUGACGCUAGAGCAAAGUUCGCCGGAAGCAAAGCCAAAACAAGAAUUAACGCUACUACAAAAGAUAACAUUCUUCUUCAUUGGCAUCUCGUCGGCUUUCACCAUUUACGCUUUGAUACGGGUGUCGAACGAUUUGCUUUUUGAACCAAAGCCGAAGCUUGUACAGCAUGGACUGGCAAGCCUAAGCGAAGAAAACACACAAUUGUAAUAUUUUUAUGCAACUCUGAGUUUAUUUUCCACACAAAAAUCAAAACCUGUUCGUAGUUAUGCUUGAUUUAGAACGAAAUGCAGCACGGAGCAAUAGGCGCGAAGUUAUCUACGAGUUCUUAAUGCGUGCCAAUGAUUGUGUGGAUUUUCGGUUUCGCAUUGACGGGGUUAAUAGUUGUGAGUCUUAUUAUAAUCGCCUUAUGGCUAAUAAGAUUUAUGGAUACUUUAUUCGGAAAAAAUGUGGAUCCUGAGUCUUUUGCUUUGAUUGAUUGAUUAAAUUGAUAUCAUAUAGUAUUCAUUAUGUUUAAAUCGUUGAAAUAUAUGUACAUAUUUAAAAAUGGAA
Molecule: long non-coding RNA, 675 nt
Organism: Zeugodacus cucurbitae (melon fly)
Lineage: Eukaryota; Metazoa; Arthropoda; Insecta; Diptera; Tephritidae
Exons: 3
Source: RefSeq, a predicted model, not a curated record